Molecule: unclassified non-coding RNA, 283 nt
Filed under: uncultured fungus
Lineage: Eukaryota; Fungi
Description: sequence contains ITS1, 5.8S rRNA gene
Rfam family: 5.8S ribosomal RNA (bases 235-283)
Source: RNAcentral
UCUCCGUAGGUGAACCUGCGGAGGGAUCAUUCACAUGAUUACCUUUUCAACAAACUGUGAACCUUUUAUAAUCUAUUCGUGUGUGUUUGUGUCGGUUUGAUUUCGAUCAUCCAUAUCUCAACAUCACACUGUCAUUCGAUGAACAUUAGAUAGCUGGCUUGAUUUUCGAAUCUUUCUCAGCUGAUUGUUUUUGAAUUUAAUUACUCGAUACAAUCAACCAACAAACAUAGAAACAACUCUAUGCCCUGGAUAUCUUGGUUCUCGCAUCGAUGAAGAACGCAGC